RNAcentral lists this unclassified non-coding RNA (250 nucleotides) under Hevea brasiliensis (rubber tree). The record is from RNAcentral. Lineage: Eukaryota; Viridiplantae; Streptophyta; Magnoliopsida; Malpighiales; Euphorbiaceae.
UUUUUUUUUUUUUUUGGUUCUUUCUUGUUGGUUUUAUAUGGUAGGAGAUGGAGAGAGACAUUUAACACUUUCAUGAUAUGAAUUUCUUUCACAUUUGUGGAUUUUCAUUUUUCUUAAUAUAUAUAUGUGUCUUUAUUAUGGUUUCGGGGAGAUGAGAUGAGAUUGAACCCAGUUGGUUGCAUCUGUAUUCUUUUAAGAUUUAAUCACUUUUGAUGCAGUUCAGAUCAUUUAUCUCCCCGAAACCAUAAUA